GUCAAGAUGGCCGAGUGGUUAAGGCGCCAGACUUAAGAUUCUAAUUCAAAUAAUAGAUUAAUAGGUAAUCUAGUGAUAUCCGUUACUUGUCAUUCUGGUCUUCGAAGAAGGCGUGGGUUCGAACCCCACUCUUGACA
RNAcentral lists this transfer RNA (137 nucleotides) under Daphnia pulex (common water flea). It matches the Rfam family "tRNA". Rfam says of the family: Transfer RNA (tRNA) molecules are approximately 80 nucleotides in length. Their secondary structure includes four short double-helical elements and three loops (D, anti-codon, and T loops). The record is from Rfam by way of RNAcentral. Lineage: Eukaryota; Metazoa; Arthropoda; Branchiopoda; Diplostraca; Daphniidae.